UGAUCCUGCCGGACCCCACUGCUAUCGGGAUAGGACAAAGACAUGCUAGUCGAGUGAUUCAGGCAAAACGAGUCACGGCACACAGCUCAGUAACACGUGGCUAAUCUGCCCUUGGGACGUGAACAACCCCGGGAAACUGGGGCUAAUUCACGAUAGGCAAAGAACUCUGGAAUGAGUCUUUACCUAAAUAAUGCAACGUUAUCCUCGUUGCCUCGCCCAAGGAUGAGGCCGCGGCCGAUCAGGUUGUUGGUGAGGUAAUGGCUCACCAAGCCUUUUACCGGUGCGGGCCGUGGGAGCGGGAGCCCGGAGAUGGGUACUGAGACAAGGACCCAGGCCCUACGGGGCGCAGCAGUCGCGAAAACUUUGCAAUACACGAAAGUGUGACAGGGCUAUCCCGAGUGCCAUCCGCUGAGGAAGGCUUUUACCCAGUCUAGAACGCUGGGGGAAUAAGGAGAGGGCAAGUCUGGUGUCAGCCGCCGCGGUAAUACCAGCUCUUCGAGUGGUGUGGAUGUUUAUUGGGCCUAAAGCAUCCGUAGCUGGCUAAGUUAGUCCCUUGUUAAAUCCACCGAAUUAAUCGUUGGAUCGCGGGGGAUACUGCUUGGCUAGGGGACGAGAGAGGCAGACGGUAUUUUCGGGGUAGGGGUGAAAUCCUAUAAUCCCGGGAAGACCACCAGUGGCGAAGGCUGUCUGCUAGAACGCGCCCGACGGUGAGGGAUGAAAGCUGGGGGAGCGAACCGGAUUAGAUACCCGGGUAGUCCCAGCUGUAAACGAUGCAGCUAGGUGUUUGGACGGCCACGUGCCGUUCUAGUG
Molecule: ribosomal RNA, 810 nt
Filed under: uncultured Bathyarchaeota archaeon
Lineage: Archaea; Thermoproteati; Candidatus Bathyarchaeota
Description: bacterial SSU rRNA
Rfam family: Archaeal small subunit ribosomal RNA
Source: RNAcentral